Molecule: ribosomal RNA, 394 nt
Filed under: uncultured bacterium
Lineage: Bacteria
Description: partial 16S ribosomal RNA
Rfam family: Bacterial small subunit ribosomal RNA
Source: RNAcentral
AUACGUAGGGGACGAGCGUUGUCCGGAAUUACUGGGCGUAAAGGGCGCGCAGGCGGAUAUUUAAGUCAGCUGUAAAAGGCAUGAGCUCAACUCAUGUAUGCGGUUGAAACUGGGUAUCUAGAGUGCUGGAGAGGUAGACGGAAUCUCCGGUGUAGCGGUGAGAAGCGUAGAUAUCGGGAAGAACACCAGUGGCGAAAGGGGCUUACUGGCCAGCAACUGACGCUGAGGCGCGAAAGCCAGGGGAGCGAACGGGAUUAGAUACCCCGGUAGUCCUGGCCGUAAACGAUGAAUGCUAGGUGUGGGUGUCGAGAGGCAUCCGUGCCGGAGUUAACGCGAUAAGCAUUCCGCCUGGGGAGUACGGCCGCAAGGUUGAAACUUAAAGGAAUUGACGGGG